AUAGAAAAACGAUAUCUUGUGUGGGAAUAUUGUCACACGGAAUGAAAUCGUGAAGAGAUAAGUUUCUGUUGUUAUCACGACUCUUUCACAAGUGCACGAACCUGUGAACCAAGAUGAAGACGGCUCUGUUAGUUUUGUUCACAAUUGGUGUUUGUAUGUCGGAGUAUUGUGGUUGGCAUGGCGACACUUCCCGAUGCACCACCAAAUGUAAUGACGGGUUCCACUUAACUUGUAUUAGCUACCAAUGCACAUGCGUUCACACGGCUCCCGACACCACUUGUUCCACCGUGUCCACAUGCAGUGCUCUUGGGAAAUGUCCAGUUCACAUGCACUGGGAAUGCCUCUCUGACGGACACUGUCAUUGCCGGCCAAACCCGGUAUGACGGAUUCCAGCUGAAUGAAACAGCCUGUUGAUACUGUGUCUUCGACAGAAAAUAAAGGAAUUUGUCUAA
Long non-coding RNA from Ostrea edulis (European flat oyster), 452 nucleotides. RefSeq lists it as uncharacterized. Lineage: Eukaryota; Metazoa; Mollusca; Bivalvia; Ostreida; Ostreidae. The transcript has 4 exons. The record is from RefSeq and is a predicted model, not a curated record.